GAAAGCAAUCACAGAGCUACUAAGCCUUGGUGAGUAAGAAAUCAAAUUGAAAUAAAAUAAGCAACACUUUUGUAAUUAAAUCUGAAACGAUAAAUGUACGUAAACAAAAAAUAGAAUUAGAAACCAAUGCAAACAGCUAUAAGCCUUUUUUUGUAAUAGCUAAUCUGCCUUAAUUAAACCAUUGAAUGACUCAAUAUGUUCAUCUUUUUUUCCUUUUAGUAGAAUACUGCCCUUCUUCAUAUUCGAUAUACUAUUGGCUUCCUUAGUGAAUUCUUAUUCUAAUGGUUGCAUAGCUGUGUUCUCACUAAGCCUCCUUUCCCAUGUCUUUGAUUCUAUGAAACGAAACUUUCAAAACUUGGAAUCACCUAUUAAGUACAAUAAAGAAAUAAUUAAUUUUAUUUUUAUCCUUUAAUUAUUUUAUGAAUUUGGUUCCUUUAUUUUAUUUGAUAUAUUUUUUACAAAUUUGGUUUUCUCAUUAUUUUAAUUGUUUAUUUUUUGUUCAUCUCUUAACUUAAUAUCCAACAUUUCAUAAAUAUGCUGACAUAAUACUAGAUUAUUAUAUCACCUGUGGGGAUAUUCAUGUUGCACAAUUAGUGGAGGCUCAAAUUCGUGAAAAAAUAAAUAAAAUUUGGAGAGACCAUAUUCACCAAAUCAGAAUAGUAUACAGAGACAAAAAAAAAAAAAAAAAACAAAUUAUGCAACGAAUGAAAAGUUAACCAUUAUAUUUAGUAUUGAGUAAUUUGAAGUCAGUGUGAGACAUGGCAACGUAGUUAACUUACUUUAAUUAAAAAUAUGAAUAAUUAAAAUAGGAAUAUAUAACGGAUUCGGAUUCUCUCCAGCAAUGAUGAGGACGUAGGAUUAAUUUUAUGGCUGAGAGUAAAUCCAAAAAGAUACGCAAACCACGUAUCACCGCUACUGCUUGACCAAAUGGAAGCGACUUCAAACCAAAAUUAGGACAAAGAAAAUAAAAAUACAAAUGUCAAUAAACUCAAUAUACAAAGACAGAGUGUAAGUUUUACUAAAUGGAAAGCUGGAAUUGAAGUAAAAGCUUUACAUAUAUAUUGCUUGCUAAACAAUUUUGAAUUUUUUUUAUCUUGGAUUCUUGCUAAACAAUUAAUUAUAUCUAUUAAUAUUUCUCUAAUAAUAUGGGAUACACUUAUUAUUAUUAUUAUUAUUAUUAUUAUUAUUAUUAUUAUUAUUUGAUUUAAAUAUAAUUUUGAUAUUUGACUAAUAUUAAAUUUAUUUUAAACAAUCACAAAUUUCGAAUAAUUAAUGAUAAUAUUAAGUUAUUUUCAUAUUUGACUAGUAUCAAAAAGUUAUUUACACAUUUGACUUACUGUUAUUUUAUUUUAGUUCUCUAGUUUUUAAAAGUAUAAUAAGUUAGUUCUUUCAUUUCUUUUCUAUUUUCCAUUUUAAUUAAAAAAAAUUCAAUUUUUAUUUUAUUUUGUAACAAUGGGCUGAAAAUAGCUACUAAAAUUUUGGCUGUGUUUUUCUUUACCAAUCAGAAAGUAGGUCCAUAUUUGAAUAUGCCGGGAAUGAUGACCAGUCAGAAAGUAGGUCCAUAUUAGGAUACGCUGGCUAUAAUCAAGACGAGGAUGAUGUGAGCAAACACAAUAUACAAAUCUUCAACAGGUUGUUUUUCUUGGAAGAGGACCUGCGUGCUGGCAAAAUAUUCAACAUGAAGUUCGUCAACAACACAAAAGCCACAGUCCCGUUGCUACCGCGCCAAAUUUCGAAACAAAUACCGUUCUCAGAAGAUAAAAAGAAGCAAGUGUUGGCGAUGCUUGGCGUGGAAGCGAACUCAAGCAACGCCAAGAUCAUAGCGGAGACCAUUGGUCUUUGCCAAGAGCCUGCAACGGAGGGAGAAAGGAAACACUGCGCGACUUCGUUGGAGUCCAUGGUUGAUUUCGUCGUUUCCGCGCUCGGGAAGAACGUUGGUGCUUUCUCAACAGAGAAAGAAAGGGAAACUGAGUCUGGAAAGUUUGUAGUGGUGAAAAAUGGGGUGAGGAAGUUGGGAGAUGAUAAGGUUAUUGCCUGUCAUCCAAUGAGUUACCCUUAUGUUGUGUUUGGGUGUCAUCUAGUGCCAAGGAGUAGCGGGUAUUUGGUGCGCUUGAAGGGAGAAGAUGGGGUUCGAGUGAAAGCAGUUGUUGCGUGCCACAGAGACACGUCAAAGUGGGACCAUAAUCAUGGGGCAUUCAAAGUGCUCAAUCUUAAGCCUGGGAAUGGUACAGUAUGCCAUGUCUUCACUGAGGGGAAUCUUCUUUGGCUUCCAAAUUAGAUUAAUUACCAUAUACAUAUUUGUCCUUGUUCUAUCCUUAAAUAAGUGGAAUCACCUGAAGAAUUGUGCGUAAUGAGUUGUUUGUCUUUGUGGAAAUUGUUAUCUGUCUUGCAUCACCAAAUAGGUAUAUAUAAAAUAACAGGAGCGUGGUAUUUGUUGCACAAAAAUGGAUUUCAACCGAUCAAAAAAAUAUAGCCUUUACCAAUUAGAAGGGUUUGGCUUUGUUAGCAAAUAAUAAAAAUAAAAUAUCUUGAUGGAUAAAUGGUUGCUAAGUUGAUUAAGAUUGUGGCAGAAUACCAAGUCAAUGAAUAGUCCAUCACAAGCAUCAAAAGAAAAGAUAAUGAUUCCUUGAAAAUAGAAAGCACUUUGUGUUUUGAAUUCAAAAUGCACACUGGAGAGUUGUUGGAGGUUACAAGCCAGAUCUAAUAAGAGGGAACACCAUAACUUUAUAAAUUGUGCAUAAACUUCAAGAUGUAUCUCAUUUCUUAGCAUAUAAAUAAGUCUUGUACUCUAAAUUUUAGGGGACAAUUAAUUCAAAACACAAGCUUAUUUUAUCCUGUACUUAUUUUAUCAUUUUUUUUUCUUUACAGUUUCUACCAUUUAUUCAUUUGAAGCUUUCCUUUCCAGAUUAACUACGUUGCUUUCUUUUUAUAGCCUUUUAAUCAUUACCUUUCAAGCAAAAUCCUAUCCACUCCCUUUCUUCUUUGUUCACCUACCCCAAGCGCUUUCUGGAGUAGCUUGGGAACCUAUAGCCAAGGACCAGAUUCCCUUUCUUGGCACAAAUCAUCAUCAUUAUUUUGGAAUCUUGUCGAGAUAAGACUAGUCAAAACGUAUUUUGGCUUACUUUGAAUUUUUAAGCGACAAUAAAUUGGCAUGCCUGGUGGGAUCAGAUAGGUGAAAACAUUCAUAAAUUUGACAGGAGAAAUCUUGAAAGCAAGGAAUUUGGUUAAAAUGAAAACAAUUAUUGUAAGGCGGCUGAGAUAUUUAAUUACUAUCAGUUUGCUUACUUUUUUGACAACUUCUUCUACUGCUCAAUCGGUACUAAACAUGCUUGCCUAAAUCAAUAUACCAUCUAUUAUGGAAGAUGCACUAUCAUUAGACUAACCUACUGUCGUGACAAUCUCUAUGGAAAAACAACAGGUCAAUAUGAGGAUAAAUGAUCUCAUGUAUCAGUUGUCUAAAUGGUUGGUAGAUGCCAUUAAGCCUAUGGUUCAUAGUGAAUUUCAGCAAGCUAAAGAAUUUGAGAAUUAGCAUGGGAAUUUUAGAGAAAAAUCUUCUACUUCAAUAGUACAUGGGUAUACAAACUAUUUGAACUAGGGCCAUGUGAUUUUGGCAGGAACCACACAAGUAAUAGCAUGCACUCACGAAAAACCUUUACCACAAGUUCAAUCGAGUAACUUUUUUGCAAGAUUGGUACAACUUGUUUAGCCGAAUUCAGUUCGGGCACAAUUGGUUCCGCUAUAUCAAUUGAUUUUAGGCCAAUCGAAUUUGAAUAAGCUAUAUCAGUUGAAUUUGAUCACUUCAAUCGAAUUCAGACUAAGUGGAUUUGGUUCAUCUUGACUAGUUGAAUUCAAUUCAUGCAACAUUGACACUACUAGAAAAGUGUUCAACGAUGGUUGAUUGACAAGUUUAACGAUAGCUUUUAACCGUGAUCAAAGCCAAUUUUGUGAAAAACACUAUACUUUCCACGGCAGUUCCUUAACUGUCUUAGAAGGUGGAUCUUCUAAGAUGGUUUGGUGUAAAAACCGUCUUAGAAGAUCCGACCUUCUAUGACGAUUUUUACGUCAAAAUCGUCUUUGAAAGUGGGAUCUUCUAAGAUAGUUUUUAUGUCAAAAUUGUCUUAGAAGACCCUACCUUCAAAGAGGGUUUUGACAUAAAAACCAUCUCAGAAGGUAGGAUUUUUUAAGAUGGUUUUGACGUUAAAAUCGUCUUUAAAGGUGGCGUACGUCUUCUAAGACAAUACUUUUCUUGUCAAAACCAAUGUAUUUUUUUAUGGAACCUAAAAAAUUUGAACCCCUAUGAAUAGUACUUGUGUUCAAAUGAUAUAGACAUUCAAUUCACAAUAAACAAUCCAACUAAUAGCAUUUUAUGCAUACAUAUUGGAUUAGCCAUAUUGUAUUCAACUCACAAUGAUAUGUGGCCAGCACCCCAUUACAUUCUCAUAUUGUACAUUGACGUGUGUGCAAAUAAAGGGGAGAUGGUAGUCUAUUUGACUUUUAUCCAAUUGAUAUAGCAUGUUCGUGGGAAUUUGGUGUAAAGAAAGGGACAUCAAGGUAGUUGAUCAUUACAGUACAAUAUCAAUAGUUAGAUAGAACAAUUAGCUAUUUAGUUGUUGGAAGGACAAAAGUUUAGACUAAAUACGAGAGAUAGAAGGUUAUGGGCUUGGGGAUUUUUUAGCUUUGUGAAUUAUGCAGGUAGGCAACUCAGUUGUGAAAAAGGGCUCACACUUUUUAAAAAGGGAAAACCCUUGAAAGAUUUGACUCCUUUUUCUGUUCAGAUUUCAUUCAGCAAUAAUAGAUUCAUUCUUUUCCUCUCUACCUCCCAUUCUUCAAUUUUGGUUUUUAACAAUUAUAUACUUCUUUGUUCAAGUUGCAAGAUAGAAAAAGAUGUAACAAGCUGUUAGCAUUCAAAAACUUCUGAACAAAAUCAAUAGCCUCACUCGAACCAAAUACCUGACAUAUAACCAAAACACCAUGUUCAUCACAAAACAGUAAACUCAAACCAGUAAAAACGAGUAAAGCAAUCAAUGUUUAUGGAUACAAGAGAGAUACCCCCCACAAGCCAUCACAGCCAAGAAUGAUGAAAUACUCUAUAUCAAUAACUUCAAAAUUAUGUAUAUCUGGGGUUGCAACAACACCCAUUGCAAACAGAAUUAUUCCUCAAGAUUACAAACAUUUUCAAACCCAUAAAUGCUCUUUUUCAAGUCUAGUUGAUGCUAUAAUGAUAUUAUAUUUUUGAUUACUGACAAAAAUAAUGAGUAGCCUUGAAUGAGGCAAGCCUUUUUGAAUUGGCGAUCUCCAAAGGCCCUAGAAAUUUCUAGACGUGUUAAUAAUCAUCCAUCUGGGCACACAAAACCACCUACCUGUAAGUAGAAAAUAUCGUGUUAGAAAAUGAAUCACAUAUCUGUGGAGACAAGCUCACUCUUCAAUCACUGAUUCUAAACAAAAAUGAAUCACAAAGAAUGAAUAUGUCCAUAAAUUCCGAGUUCUUUAAAGCGUAAUUCCUUGUAGGGAUUCAAUCAAUCAACCUAAUUUGAUUCUAACAGUCGAUCAUCAAUCCUGACCAUAUGUUUUCUAUCCAUGUAGAGAGAAAUUACUGCAUAAAGAUGAAUGAAACCCCAUUGUGUUCCCAUACUCAAAAUCAUGAUGAAAACUAAAUGCGGAAGCAUACCUGGAUUAGCCAUAAUGGAAUAAUGAAUGGUUGAUGAGGAUCAAGAUUGGUUUUAUGAUCUUCCAAAUGUAGAGAGCUUCAUGUUCUUCUCUAAAUUUUCUCUUCUGAUGGGGAUAAAGAGAAAAAAGAAUUCAAAUUGUACAUUCUGUUACUUCUCUCUACAAAUGGGGACCAUAACCUCUUGCAUUGGUAACUUCCAUCGGUUACCCCAAAUUUGAUAAUUAUAAUUUGGCCCCUCAUCAAAUUAUAAUAUCACUAAUGGUAUCUACACAAUUAGCCUUUCAUAAAAUAUUUGCCCUUAACCAUAAUUUUGUAUUGAUUAGACCACUUUAAUAUUUUGGCUAAUAAAAUAAUGACCCUAACUCAUUCAAUUAUGCAAUAUAUAUAUAUCCUUACAAUCCUUAUAAAUGUGUUAGACUUUAUGAGCUCAAAAUUUUCCAUUACAUGCCUUGAGCAUAUUCCAAAAAUCUUAUCCAUUUAUUACAUCCGCACAUAGAACCAAAGCAGUUUUCAUUGUAUCAAUCACAACUAAAUCCAUCAAUGAUCACUAAUGCUGACAAAAUCAAAUGACAUAGACUCAUCAUGAAAUAUGUAGCAUGAAAAUUACGUGAAGAUGGCCUGUACACGUCUAUUUUCAAUUGGUCUUACUUUAACUCAAUGAGACCAUUUAAUAACCUUAACGUACAAAGUAUAAUAACUGAAUAAUAAAACAUAUAUGUAUAUAUAUAUAUAGCCAAAUAUAUCCAAAAGUCAAUGUAUGCAUACAUAAAAUCUAAUAGAGAACAUAAAAUACAUAAAAGUGACUAACACCCACUAAACCAAAGAUUCCUCGAACUGUAAAACACCCAUGUGAGCAACAUGCUCAUGAAAAACCUUGGGUGGAAGUCCCUUAGUAAGAGGAUCUGCUAUCAUUGGAGUUUGUCCCUUUGUCCACUCUGUACCCUUUCCUUAACAACUAGGAACUUGAUGUCAAUAUGCUUCGACUUGGUCGAGCUCCUAUUGUUGUUAGAAUACAAUAUAGUUGAUUUGUUGUCACAAUAUAACUUAAGUUGUCUUUCAAUUCCUUCCAUAAUUUGUAGCCCUGUAACAAAAUUUCUUAGCCAUAUUCCAUGAUUUAAUGUCUCAUAGCAUGCGACAAAUUCUGCCGCCAUAAUGGAUGAAGUAGUAAGGGUUUGCUUGGCACUACACCAAGAAACCACACCACCAGCUAACAUGAAAAUGUAAUCAGAAGUGGAUCUCAAACUAUCUAGGCAUCCUGCGGAAUCCGAGUCAAAAUACCCAAUGAUCUCCAACUGAUCUGACCUCUUGUAUGUGAGCAUAUAAUACUUUAUUCUCUUCAAAUACUUCAUAACUCUUUUGGCUGUUUUCCAAUGAUCCAUUCCUUGAUUGCUUAAAUAUCUGCCUAAUAUCCCAACUAUGUAUGCUAUAUCCAGAUGCGUACAUACUUGGGCAUACAUCAAACUCCCUACAGCUGAUGCAUAGAGAAUCUUCUGUAUUUCCUGAAUUUCCAAAUUUCCUUUUGGGCACUAUUUGAGACUGAACUUGUCUCCCUUAGCAACUAGAGUAUCCCUAAAUUUACAUUCCUGCAUGCCAAACCUUUUAAGUACAUUUUCGAUAUAGCUCCUUUAUGAUAAUCCUAGAAUACCACGAGAUCGAUCUUGGUGUAUCUGAAUUCCUAAUACAAAGGAGGUGUCACUAAGAUCUUUCAUUUCGAAGUUUCUUGAUAGAAAUCUCUUGGUUUCAUGCAACAUGCCUAUACAUUAGUGGCAAGCAAUAUGUCAUCAACAUAUAAUACCAGGAAAAUGUACUUGCUCCUACUGAAUUUGUGAUACACACAAUCAUCAACAAGAUUCAUCUCAAAACCAAAUGAGAGAAUUACUUGAUGAAAUUUAUGGUACCAUUGACGAGAUGUCUAUUUUAGCUCGUAAAUGGAUUUUGUCAGUUUGCAAAUCAUAUUCUUUGGGUCUCUUGACACAAAUUUUUCUGGUUACACCAUAUAAAUUGUCUCAUCAAUGAUGCCAUUGAGAAAUACCGUCUUGACAUCCAUUUGAUGAAGCUCUAAAUCAUAAUGUGCAACAAGAGCCAUGAUUGUCCUAAAAGAGUCUUUCGAUGAAACUAGAGAGAAAGUCUCUUUAAAGUCAAUCCCUUCCUUUUGGGUAUAACCCUUCACCACAAGACGAGCCUUAUACCUCUCCACAUUACCUGUGAAAUCCCGCUUGGUCUUAAAUAUCCAUUUGCAACCAAUGGGUUUCACACCUUUUGGUAAUGGGACAAGUUCCCAAACCUUGUUGUCUUGCAUGGACUUAUACUCCUCAUUCAUUGCUUCAAUCCACUUUUCUGAGUUGGAAUCUUGCAUGGCUUGAUGGAAGUUGACUGGGUCAUCUUCCAUCAUACCAUUAUUUUCCUCAUGUUCCUUGAGUAAUACCACAUAAUCAUCUGGAAUAUCACUUCUCCUUUCUCUUGUAGAUCUUUGCAAAGGUACUGGCUUAUGAAGCAUAAGUUCUUGAGGAUCUUAAGUUUAUUCUUCAUGAAUGACCAAAUUAUCUUGAGUGGGAGAUUCAAUAACAAUAUAUUGUAGAGGUUCCAAAUUUGCCUUAUCAAAAGCAACUAUAUGAAUCGGUUCUAGAAUUGUUACUGAUUCUUCCUCUAAGACAAAGUCUCUAACCAUAUUCUUCCCCCUAAACUAAACAUCCUCAAAGAAUGUGGUAGUUCCCGUCUCAAAAAUUGUCUUUAAUUUGGGAUCAUAAAAUUUAUAGCCACUGGAUCUUUCAGAAUAGCCAAUAAAGUAGUUGCUCAUUGUUCGGGAGUCCAAUUUCCUUUCAUUUGGCUUAAAAGGCCUUGCCUCAGCUGGACAUCCCCAUAGAUGAAAAUGUUUCAGACUAGGCUUUCGCCCAACCCAAAGCUCAUAAGGUGUUUUGGCAGCUGCCUUGGUUGACACUCUAUUUAGAAUGUAAGCUACAGUCUUUAGUGCCUCUCCCCAGAGUGACUCUAGUAAGUUAGAAUGACAAAUCACGCUUCUUACCAUAUCCUUAAGAGUUCUAUUUCGUCUUUCAGCCACACCAUUCUUGCUAGGUGACCCCAGCAUGGUAUACUGUGAGACGAUUCCACAUUCCUCUAUGUAACUUACAAAAGGCCUCAGACGUUGUUUGUAAUGACUUGCCUCGUCGCUACGAUAUCACCACUCUAAACCGCGAGAACUUCAAUUUUUAAAUGAAAACUCCAUUAAUUUGCUUAUGAAAAAUUAAAGUAAAUUUUUUCAUGAUAUACAUUCCCAAACAAUGCACCAUUACUUAAAUGAAUACAUAGAUAUAGGCAUAGUAACUCAGUACACAUCAUUCACAUAAUAGAAAGUAAAUUUGUUCAUACAUAUACCUAAAUCUGUGAUUUAUAUCCUCAAUUUAAAAAAAGAAUUAUGUAACCAACUAUGGAGGAGUUGAUUAACAAAACACAACUCUCUCCUAAAAUAAUCUACAUGGUACAAAAAUUGCGAGGGGUGAGUUUAUUAUAAAAGAAGUUAAUACAAAAAUCAAAUAAUCAUAAUUAGUUAAAAAAAAACAUUAUCAAAUACCAUAAACAUGCACAAACAUCCAUUAGUCCAACAUACACUCAACAAGUAGUCAUCAUCCGUCCAUAGUUCCAAUCAAUCAUGCUCAGUAUGAUGCAUGCACCUGACCUCAACUCUCAAAUGCAAUGUGGUACCAUCCCCAAGGAAAUAGCCUAAGCGUGUCCACACGACACUCUCACUUAGGAAAACUAGGCAAUAAGUGUCGAGGUCACCCUGUCGUGCACAUGCAACUCCCCCCCCAUGGUGAUCAACCUGAGUCUCAAGGGAGUUUCAAACUGAGUGACAUGCCCCUAAGUACAAGCAUUCCUCCUCAUGAGAAACUACAAGUAUUUACUGACAAAGUUUAUACUAUUUCCAUGUCAUAUGAAGUAUGAAACAUGGACACUACCAAUGCACAGAUCGUGGAUAAUUAAAGAUUCUAAGCCAUCCCUCUACAGAGAUGCUUAAAACUCUUUAACCACUCUUUUUCCCCUACCAGGGAUAUCCAACAAGGUCAUUACACCCUCCAUGUACAUACACAACAUACAAUGUAUGAAACAUGGGCACCAUCAAUGCACUGACCAUGGAUAAUUAAAGAUUUUGAGCCAUCCCCCUCCAGAGAUGCUUAAAACUCUUUAACCAUUUUUUCCCCUACCAGGGAUAUCCAACAAGGUCACUGCACCCCCCAUGUACACACACAACAUACAACAUAUGAAACAUGGGCACUAUCAAUGCAUUGGUCGUGGAUAAUUAAAGAUUCUAAGCCAUCCACCUCAAGAGAUGUUUAAAACUCUUUAACCAUUCUAUUUUCCCUUUCAGGGAUAUCCAACAAGGUCACUACACUCCCCAUGUACAUACACAACAUACAUCAUCACAGUGCAUUUUCAACAUCAUCAACAUUUCAUCUCAAUGUCAUUAUCAACAUCAACAUUGUCUCAUCUCAAUGACAUUAUCAACAACAACAACAUCAUCUCACAUUAACAUAAUCAUCAAUAACAACAUCAACUCAUAUUAACAUAAUCAUCAAUAACAACAUCAUCUCAUAUCAAUAUUAUCAUAAACAUCAAUGCCGCCUCAUAUCAAUUAAUGUCAUCAAUAGCAAUAUCAUCAGUAAGUCACAUUCUGCAUAUACAUACAUAUAUAGUUCAUGCCUGAGAUUCACACUCCCCAAGUCUUCAGACAACACAAGUUUAACAAAAACAAUAAUGUCAUUUAUCAAUAAUAGAUGUAUCGCAUCCCAUUUGUCAAAAACAUUGUUUUUCUUGAAAACCAGCAUGCAGCAGGGACAGGCAUACGUCCCCAUAGUUAGGUUCCCUAACCCCAACUAUGGUAUUAAAAACUGUAAAUGAUAAUAAACUCCCAUCACCUAUCGUGAGCUCUCCGUCAGUUCCUCUUUGCGUCGCUUAGAGGUCUCUCUCAUUCAUGCUCGUCAGUCCAAACGCAAGGUUCUAUGUACCAAAUUGAAGGAAAUUUAGUAUAGAUUUCAAAAAUAAGGUUAAUAACAAUAUUCGAAGUCAAAUACCUUUGUCAAAACAUAAAGGGCUGAGAGGUGUUUCAGAUUCUACUAAAAGGAGACGUCAUUUUGAAAUUCCGCUCACAGCAAUGUGACCGAGGUUCAAUGAAGGUCACGAAAAUAACAUCAAUGUUAUAAAAAGAUAACUUUUACAAUAUCUCAUUUUCAAGGGUUUUUCAAAGGAAGUGUAAAAACACCCUAUUACAAUACCCAACACGAGAGAUACUAAGAGAAACUCAAACUAACUAGGAGAAAGGCUUAGAAUUCAAGAUUACCUCAGAGAAGCUAUGAAAUAAAGGAUUGGGGGAAUUUUCUCCACCGAAUCCUUGAGGAGGAUUAUGGGGAUUCCGCUCUGAUUACAAUCAUCUUCUUGGUGUGGAGGUUCGACGACAAGCAACAGCGACUCGUGGUGGCCACCAGUGGUCGAAUGUGGUGGAGAAGAAGGUGUUAGGGUUUGGGUGGGCAUUUAGAGAGAAGUAGAGGGGCAAAAAUCAUGUUUUUCAUGUUGAAGAACGUAUUUAUAAUCUGCAGAUCUCGCUUAGCGAGCUCGUGUCACUAAGUGGGAGUCCACUUUUUGCCUUAGCGCGACAAUUCGCGUUGAUUGCAACUCCCUCUAUGCUAAUUCUCACUUAGUGUGCUAAUUCUUGCUCAGCGUAAUUCCCUCUCGAUUUGGAAUUGCGCUUAGCGCACUAAUUCUCACUCAGCGCAAUUCCCUCUCGGGUUGGAAUUGCGCUUAGUGCGCUCCUCACGCUUAGUGAGAUAUCAAAAGUUUUUAUUUUCAAAAUCCCAACGGUCAGACUGUGGAGAGUUUUCUUAGGAACCUCCAAACAAAAUUUUAAGAUCAUCCAACAGUUAACGAAUCUGGGAUCACGAUUUUACUGAAAUAGGUUUAGGUAAAAUUUGAAAUCUCAUAAUUUUAACUUAGCUCAACAAAACUCCACAUAACUCAACAUCCACAUCAAGAAAUUCACACAUGACUAAUUCAAGCCAUACCUCAACUCAUUCAAGUCAAUGAUAUAGUCAAAUAGCACGAUAAAUACAAUUAAACAUCGAUUUAUAAUUAGUAAUAUUUAAAGGUGUUACAUUGUUCACCUGAACCAUCAUAUCUGCCAUAGUAUUAACCACCAUGGUCAGAUCUGACACUCUUGAUUCUUUUGUUGAUUUGAUUUUCAACUUAAACUUUAAAUGUUUUGAACACAUCCAAAGAUUGUGACUUUUCAUGUAUAAGAAACAGGUAUGCAUAUCUGGAGUAAUCGUCUAUGAAUGAUAUAAAAUAUUGCUAACCAUUCCAUGAAGGUGUAUGAAAUGGCCCAUAAAUGUUCAUAUGUAUCAAUUCCAAGACGUCUAUUGCUCUAUAUGCACCAAAUUUCUUGCUUUUGGUUUGUUCUUAGAAAUAUGACCUAAGCAUUUAUGCCAUAAUGCUCCUGAGUUUGUAUUAUCAAUUCUACACUUAGUACCACACAAUUUUGCAUUAAAGGAUUCACCAUAGGAAGCUACAUAUCAAGUAAUAUCAUAAGUCAAGAGUGAACCAGUUCCAACAAUAUCUGAAUUAAAAGACAACCUAAAUACAUUGUUUCCAAAUGAACACUAAUAACCUAAUUUGUCCAAAUAAGAAACUAAAACCAAAUUUCGUCUAAAUGACGGUACAACAAAAGUGUCUUUCAAAUCCAAAUAAAAAAAACCAAUACAUAAUGAUAAUCUAAAAUGCUCUAUAGCUUCCACCUCUAUUGAUUUACCAUCUCCAACAUACAUAGGCAACCUUUUCUUUGCACGCCAUGCAUGAUAUUUGGUAUAUUUCUUUUUUAAAUGUGCAGGUUGACUACAAAAGAAAUAGUUGUCACCUUGAUUUUGUUUCUUUUGUGCUGGACCCUUAGUAGCUUCAUUCUUGGGCUCCUCAGUUCUUUUUCUUUUGCCCUUGUCUUUAGAGGUACUUACAACCUAAGCACUUUCAGUCUUUUUUUGCUUCAGCCUUUCCUCUUCUUGCACAUAGUAUGAAAUGAGCUCAUUAAGAGACCAUUUCUCCUUCUGACAGUUAUAAGAGAUCUUAAACUAAUUAAACUGUGAAGGUAGAGAAAUUAGCACUAAAUGGAUAAGCAAGUCUUCUAAUAGCUGAAGCUUUAGUGCCCUUAAUUUUGAAUUUUGAAGCAAUAUUUGACAUUCCCAUAAUGUAUUCCCUGACAUUUCCUUUGCCUUGAUACUUCAUGGAAAUUAAGUUCUGAAGAAGAGUACUUGUUUCCACCUUAUCGCUUUUUGCAAAGCACUUUUCAAUUUCAGCAAGGAAUUCUUUGGCACUAGUUAUAUCAUCUGAAAUAGUACCCCUAAAGACCUCAGAAAUGCCACACUUAAUGAUCAUAAGACUCAUGCGAUUUGAGUGAUCCCACUUCUCAUGAAGUUUCCUCUGUUCAGAGGUACCGAAAUCCGUAGGAGAAGGGGGUUUCUCAAUCCUUAAGCAAGGUCUAGAUCCAUGCAACCAAGAACAAUUUGUAUGUUUAUAAAUCAUGAAGAUUUUGAUGAUGUCAAGAAGAAUUAAGAAUUUGCUUGAGAAAGGGGGAGAAUGUAAAUCAUGCAAGCUUUGAUGGUGUCGAGAAGAAAUCACAUGUUUGUCAUCAUCAAAAAGGGGGAGAAUGUGAAUGUAUGUAUACAUGAUUUUGAUGAUGUCAAAAGAAGAAUCAAACAAGGCUCAUUUUGCUUCAAGAUUAAUACAAGAUUGUUUCAACAAACAAAGCCUUGAUUCAAGAUUUCUUCAAGAUCAAGCCUUGCCACAAAAUGAAAAGAUUUCAAGUCAUCCAAGGCACAUGUAAUCGAUUACCAAUACAUGUAAUCGAUUACCAAGGCACAUGAAAGUGUGUAAUCAAUUACACAUCAUAUGUAAUCGGUUACCAGAGACUCUGAAUGUUGGGAAUUCAAAUUUUAAAUGAAGAGUCACAACUGUUCAAGAAAAAUAACUGUGUAAUCGAUUACACUAAUUAUGUAAUCGAUUACCAGAGAGGAUUUUCAAGGAAUAUCGCCAACAGUCACAUCUUAUCAUUUGGAUUUUGAAUGGCCAUCAAAGGCCUAUAUAUAUGUGUGACUUGGGAUGAAAUUAUAGAGAGUUUUUUGCUUGGCAAAAAUGUCUUAUCCUCUCAAAAGACAAUGAGAGAGAUUCCAAAAGAACUUCAUUGUCAAAUGCUCUCUCAAAAUAAAUCCUUGACCAAACACUUGCAAAAUGCAUAAGGAUUCUUACAUGAUCUUCAUUGUAAUAUUCUUCUCUUGAAGAGAGAUUUCUUCUUCCAUUCUUCUUAUUCAAUGAGAUUGGUUAAGAGACUGUGAGUCUCUUGUUGUAAAGGAUUCCUAAACACAAGGGAUGGGUUGUCCCUGUGUGGUUCAGAAUUUGUAAUGGAUUUUACAAAGAUAGUGGAAAUCUCAAGUGGGUUGCUUGAGUACUGGACGUAGGCACGGGAAGUGGCCGAACCAGUAUAAAAUUGUGUUUGCACUCUCUCUUCCCUUAUCUUAUUUAUUUUGUUGCAAUCAAUGGUGUCUUGCAUGUGUUAAAGAACAUUGUUAAAAUGAUUGUUGUUGCUUCUUCUGCAUUCUAAGCCUAUCCCUCUUAAGAUUAUUGAGGCCACAAGGUCCAACAAUAUAUACAUACAUACAUAUAUAUAUAUAUGUAUAUAUAUAUAUAUAUAUAUAUAUAUAUAUAUAUAUAUAUAUAUAUUAACGAUGCACUCUAACCUUUAUAUGAGCGGUGCAUUUAAAUGUUGUUGGAAGUUACGCUUUAUUAAAAGGUAAGAUCAAGCAACAAUAUGUAAAAUAUCUAAAUUCGUUUAAAAUUUAGAAUAUGAUAGCAUCCUGAAUAAAUAAAAUUUCCCAAAUCAUACAUGAAUCAAGUAUGGGUGGCUCUGAUACCAAUUUGUAGGGAUUCAAUCAAUCAACCUAAUUUGAUUCUAACAGUUGAUCAUCAAUCCUAACCACAUGUUUUCUAUCCAUGUAGAGAGGAAUUACUGCAUAAAGAUGAAUGAAACCUCAUCGUGUUCCCAUACUAAAAAUCAUGAUGAAAACUAAAUACAGAAGCGUACCUGGAUUAGUCAUAAUGGGAUGAUGAACGGUUGAUGAGGAUCAAGAUUGGUUUUAUGAUCUUCCAAAUGUAGAGAGCUUCAUGUUCUUCUCUGAAUUUUCUCUAAAAAGAAUUCUAACUGUUUACUUAUCUCUACAAAUAGGGACCAUAACCUCUUGUAUUGGUAAUUUCCAUCCAUUACCCCAAAUUUGAUCAUUAUAAUUUGGCCCCUUAUCAAAUGAUAAUAUCACUAAUGAUAUCUACACAAUUAGCCUUUCAUAACAGAUAUGCCCUUAACCAUAAUUUUAUAUUGAUUAGACCACUAUAAUAUUUUGGCUAAUAAAAUAAUGGUCCUAACUCAUUCAAUUAUGUAAUAUAUAUAUAUAUAUAUAUAUAUAUAUAUAUAUAUAUAUAUAUAUAUAUAUAUAUAUAUAUAUAUAUAUAUGACCUAAAAUUGCUAGCAUUCCUAACAAGCAAUAUAUACACAAUAAACUAGGGCUAUCCAAGAAAAUUAUCAAUCGUACAUCAAGGUUAGGUUGUUUAAUAAUUCAUUUCAAAGCAAGCUUGAACUUGGCACCUUACUAGUCAGAACUGGUCCCUGUAGGUCCUGAGUAAUUUGAGCCAUGUUUGGAUUGGUUUAUUUUGAAGAAAUAAAUUCACUUUUUUUAAUCUUGAAAGAGCCUUAGAAGAAAAAGUUAUUCUUUCCCCAUAAAUAAUCCGAACAAAACAUGCAUUCAAUCUGUUGGCAACAAAAAACAAUUAUUCAUGCAACAAAUCAUAAUACAGGUGCUUACCUUAAUCUCAAAAUGCUCCAUUUUAAUCAACAACGUAUGUUACAGAGAAAGAGAGUUCAACUGAAAGCUCUGUAAAAAGAGGUGGUAAUGUAACUUUGAAGUAUGACAGAUAGAAGUCAGUGUCUUAUUUGCUAACAGCAUGCAUUACCAUCAAAUAAUUUUGGUGAUCUAAUCAAUCAUUAUUGAGGAGUUUCAUACCUUCUCAAUGCAUGCACGCUCCAGUGGGAAGAUAGGUUUGUGUUCUCUAGUCAAAACAAUGGCCUUCAGCUGUGUCUGAACACCAUCUGGGAGAUUUUGGUAUCCAUUAGUUGACCGAGCUAAUACUACCUUGGCAUCUCCUAUAUUUGCAACCACAACCUAACAAAUACUCAUCAAACAAGAAAGGCCAUAACCGGUUAUGACUGACUUGAAAGAAAACUGAAACAAACCAAGAGCUGAAUUCAUCAACAAGACUUCAAAGACAACAACAUCAAGGAACUAAGAGAGAGAUAUUCUUGCAGGCAGGGACACCACAAUGAAAGAUGGAAAAUGAGAAAACAAUGGCAUAAGGAUCUCAUCUGGUGGACUACAAAACUCGAAUUAAUUACAACACCAUUUAUCUCUUUGCCUUGGACAUACGGCCUCCUGACAGAAAGACCCAUACUUUUCGGGCAGACAAUAAUUACACUAAAGUGCUUGGGAAAAUCAAGUCCCAUUGACUGUAAAUGCCCAAGAAGAAAACCAUGGGACAACCCUGGUAUUCUAUUUGGUUUCAUGUAGGAACAUAUUUUUUCAUAAUUAUCAGCCUGCAUGAUUAAAAAAAUUAAUAAAUUUUAAUUUCAGUCUUUAAAAAAAUUGUUGGGGCUAGUUCCCUCAACAUGGCAAACCACAAUUACAAUCUGAAAAGUGUCUGACAAAACAAUGAACAGAAUUGCCUAAAAAGAACAUACCAGCAUGGGAAAAAGAUUUUUGAUUUUAAUUUUCACAUAUUUAAUUUCUUAAAAAAAAAAAUUUUGAUCCUCAUUUAAUUAUGAAUGGAGUCACAUGCAUCUAAAGAAGCAAGAAAUUGAGAACAUCAUCGUGUCCAGCUAGGUUAAUCUUCUCCUUCUUGAAAACAGAGGUUUCAAAGUCGAGUGAGGCCAGCGGAGUGAAUAAGGUAUAUUGUGAGUGUGCACAGUACAUACAACAUCUCUAUAUGCUAGUGCUCGUAUGAAUUGGAAUUAUUGAAUCCUAAUUAUAGGAUACAUAUUCCUUACUCAGUUCGUAAGAUUGUUCCUUAUUGAUUGUACCAUAUAUACAUGAUAGGCUACCACAUAUAUCUAACAUACAUCACAAAUAUCCAUGCACAUGGAAUGUCUAAAGCACAUUCUUAUAAAUGGCAUUACCUUGUGAAAUAUGUUAGUCACAUUCUUUACAAACAUCUCUUCUCUCUCUCUCUCUUCUCUCUCUCUUCUCUCUCUUGGCGCUUUAUAAGAGAUUUUAGCAAGGUAGCCCUUCCACUAUCCAACUUGUUGCAAAAGGAGGUGGAGUUUGACUUUAAUGAUAAAUGCAAAGAGGCUUUUGAUUGCCUCAAAAGAGCACUGACUACCACCCCCAUCAUCCAGGCACCCGACUGGAUAGCCCUUUUUGAGCUUAUGUGUGAUGCAUCAAAUUAUGCAUUGGGGGCUGUCCUUGCUCAAAAAAUUGAUAAAUUGCCUAGGGUGAUAUAUUAUGCUUCUAGAAUUUUAGAUGUUGCCCAAGCGAAUUAUACUACUAUUGAGAAAGAGCUACUAGCCAUAGUUUUUGCUCUUGAAAACUUUCGUUCUUAUUUGCUUGGUACUCGCAUUAUUGUUUAUACUGACCAUGCAGCUUUAAAGUACUUGUUGUAGAAGGCUGAUUCAAAGCCUAGGUUGAUCUGAUGGAUGCUUUGGCUCCAAGAAUUUGAGUUGGAGAUCCGUGAUAGAAGCAGAGCACAAAAUUUAGUUGCUGAUCAUUUCAGUCAGAUCGAACAUGUGUCUGAUGAGGACUCACCUAUUCGGGAUGAUUUCCCGGAUGAUCAUUUAUAUAUAUUGUAUAGUAUUUCUGAUUCUCUUUCUACUCCCUGGUUUUCUAACAUUGUCAAUUAUUUAGUUGCUUCUGUUUUUUCUCCCUUAGCAUCUAAGGCUCAAAAAGAUAAACUUAAAAGUGAUGCUAAACAUUUUAUUUGGGAUGACCCCUACUUGUGGAAAUUGUGAAGUGAUUAGGUCAUUAGACGAUGCAUUCUAGAUCAUGAGACUGACUCAGUCCUGUAGUUCUGUCAUUCUUCCGCACUGGGAGGUCAUCUGGGUGUUCAAAGGACAGCUCGUAAAGUGCUUGACUAUGGCUUUUAUUGGCCCACCAUCUUUAAAGAUGCGUGGAAGAUUUGUAGCACUUGUGAGCAGUGUCAAAGAGCAGGAAGUGCACUUACAUGGAGACAACAAAUGCCUCAGCAACCUAUGCUAUUCUGUGAGGUGUUUGAUGUUUGGGGCAUAGAUUUCAUGGGCCCUUUUCCUGUCUCUUUUGGUUAUGUUUACAUUCUCCUUGCAGUUGAUUAUGUUUCAAAAUGGGUGGAAGCCAAGCCCACUAGAACUAAUGAUGCUAAGGUUGUUGCAGAUUUUGUCAGAUCUAAUCUGUUUUGCAGGUUUGGAGUACCUAAAGCAAUCGUUAGUGAUCAAGGAACCCAUUUUUGCAACAAAUCAAUGCAUGCCAUGCUUAAAAAGUACAGGGUUGUACACAGGGUAUCCACACCAUACCGCCCCCAAACCAAUGGACAGGCAUAAAUUUCUAACAUGGAGAUCAAGAGAAUUUUAGAGAAGAUUGUGCAGCCAAGCAGGAAAGAUUGGAGCACCAGGCUUGAUGAUGCUCUUUGGGCACAUAGGACUGCCUACAAAGCACCCAUAGGAAUGUCUCCUUAUCGGGUUGUCUUUGGAAAGGCAUGUCAUCUUCUAGUGGAGAUUGAGCACAAAGCAUAUUGGGCAGUGAAGACCUGCAACUUCUCUAUAGAUCAAGCUGGGGAGGAAAGAAAGUUGCAACUGAGUGAGUUAGAUGAGAUCCGCCUAGAAGUGUAUGAGAAUGCCAAGUUCUACAAAGAAAAGACCAAGAAGUUCCAUGAUAGCAUGAUAAUUAAGAAGGACUUCAUGGUUGGGCAAAAAGUGUUAUUGUAUAAUUCUAAGCUUGGACUCAUGAGUGGUAAGUUGAGGUCUAAGUGGAUUGGUCCUUUUGUUGUUACUAAUGUUUUUCCUUAUGGUACAGUUGAGAUCAAAAGCGACUCCACAAACAAGAGCUUCAAGGUCAAUGGACAUCGACUUAAGCCAUUCCUCACAAACCCUUCUUUAGUGGAUGUAGUGGUGGAAGAGACUUCCUUACUCCACCCUACUCUUCCUCCACCAUGACUUAGGGAGUUUUUCUUUUCCUAUCUCCUUCUUUACUUUUAUUACAUUUGUCCGAUUCUAUUUGAUGGUUUAAUUGCUUUUAAUCUUUUGAUUGUGCUACAUUGUGGACAAUGUGUUGUUUAAGUAUGGGGGGGGGGGGAAGUGUUCUUUGGUUUUGGUGGAUGUAGUGGUGGAAGAGACUUCCUUACUCCACCCUACUCUUCCUCCACCAUUACUUAGGGAGUUUUUCUUUUCCUAUCUCCAUCUUUACUUUUAUUACAUUUGUCCGAUUCUAUUUGAUGGUUUAAUUGCUUUUAAUCUUUUAAUUGUGCUACAUUGUGGACAAUGUGUUGUUUAAGUAUGGGGGGGGGGGGGGGGGUAUGAUUCAUUGGAAGAUAUGAUUUUUGGCCAUGCUUAAUGUUUUAUUUUGGCCAUGCUUGAUGUAUAUAUAUAUUGCCUAGUUCUUGCCUUAAUCUUCAAAUUCGUACUGUUUAAAAAAAAGUGAAAAAAAGAAUAAAAAAAAAAUUCCAGUUGCUGCGAAUUCUGCAAAUGCGUACUAUUCAAAAAAAAAAAAAAGAAGAAGAAGAAAAGAAGUGAAGUUGAAUAAAUGAGGUCUUGUUAUGAGGACUUGAUUUGGGAGCCUUGGUUGAUUUUGUUGAUAUUAGAGGGUUUGGGUUUACUACUUGUGCUUAAUUUCCACUUAUUCCCCAUUGCUCCCCUAUUCCUUUGGGAUUUAGCUACUUAUUCCAUAUUUUUUUCCCUACCUUGUCCUUGGCCCCAUUAUAACCUUUAAAGACCUUUUGAUCCUCAUGUGCAUGUGUUUGUCAAGUUGUUUGUCAAUUUUAGAAUUUUGCCAAGUCUAUGUGGUGUUUGUUUUCAUGGGUGCUUUGAGAGUAAAUAGUAGCCUAGACACUUCAGAGAUAGUGUAUAUCUUGUGAGGCUUUAUCACUUUUCAUUAUUGAGCUGAUUGACCAUUUUGCCAUGAUUGGGUUGCUUGGAUGAUUUUCACGAAUGUCUUGACUCUUUGGAUCUCUUCAUGUUAGAUGUUACCCAUUCCCUUCAUUCCUUGAUUUUCAUUGAGAAAUAUGUAAAUUUUUUUGUUUGUCUCUCUUUGAUAUCCUUGGAUUUUGUUAUUAAUUUCAUUUUGCCCAGGAGUGCAAAAGGCUAAGUAUGGGGGGUUUUUGAUGUGCCAUUAUUUUCUCCUAUUUCUUAACCCUUUUUGCACCAUUUUAAGUACUGAUUUGUCUUAAUUGUCAAAUUAAUUAGGUAGUUUUAUUAUUUGGACCUAUUCAGCUAAUUUGAUGUUUUUAAUCUAAUUUCAGGAAUUAAUGAAGCAUUGGGCUUGAAUCCAGAAUUGGGCUUGGACUUAAUGAGGGCAGACUAUUUUAUUCUACAAAAUUAGAUCUUAUCUUAUCUUAUCUUAUCUAGAUAUUAUUUAGAUUUGAUCUCAUCUAGAUAUUAUUUCAUCUAGAUCUUAUCUUAUCUUAUCUAGAUUUGGUUUUAUUUUAUUUAUGGGCUUGGAUUUAAAACAGAUUUGUAAGCUUUGGGGUUGGAAAACUAUAUACAGGAUCAAGGUUCUAGUUUAGGCCUUCUCUCUCUUCUCUCUCUCUUAUUUUCGUUUUUAGUUUUAGGCUUUUCUUAGACACUUUUUCAUUUUGCAGUUCCAGUUUUGACUUUUCGUUUUAGUAAUAAAAUUCCGUUCUUCAAUCUAUAAUUUCAUUCUCUAUUGAUUAAUGGAAGGCUAAGUAUUCAGCGUUGCUUUCUCUUAAGGAUCAAGCAUAGUUCUCUUUGAGGUUCUAUUAUUACUGUUAAAUUCUGUUUAGUUUUUCCUCUUCACUAAUUACUCUGAAUUCGUUGCUGUUAAUUCAUGCAUGCUUAGUACUUGAUUAAUUGUCUUUGUGCUUAAUUACAUUCAUGCUUAAUGAUCGUUUAUGAUUAAUUGGUGUAUGUGUUGCUUAAUCACAUAAUGAAUGCCUUAGGGUUGGAUUAAGUGGUUGAACUGAUAAAGGAUAAACUCUCAUAACCUAGGAUAAGAGACUUGCUUGUAAAUCAAGGGGAAGCAACGUGUUUUAAUUAUGAUAUUUUAUAAUUCACAUCUAUUUAUUGUUUAAUUUACAAAAGCAAACAACCCCCCCCCCCCAAUUUGUUACUAUUUUCCUAUUAUCUGUUAUGAACAUUUGGUUUAUCAUUGCUCGUUGGGAAACGACCUAGGAUCACUUCCUAGUUAUUACAUUUUAAUGUUUAUUUGAUUCAGGUACGGCCUCGAUCAACGUCAUCAAACUUUCCUGAUGUAUCAAGCUGCAUACUACUCAUUCAAAUUUCAAAACUGUUAAAAAUUGACCUGUCUUAAUUUAUUUAUACCACAUGGAUCUUAUUACCCAAGCAUCUAUCAAUUCAAAAUUCUGUAAAACAUGAAAAAAGAACUAUAAACAAGAAACAAUGAUUUUAUGAUCCAAGGAAUAAAGAUAGAUCAGGUGUGAUGAAGAAAAAUUCCAUCAUGAGUGAUUCUUGACUAACAAAACUUUAACCCAAAAAUAGGAAAUAACAGACCAUAGAUAGCAAUUUCAAUUGUUUAUAGCAUGCCUCUGCAUCCAUCUAUUAGAAGAAGAUUAACAUAUUUGGUAAAGAACUAUAGCUUAACCUAGCAACCAGAGCAUGAGCUUCCAUGAGAUUAACCCUAGCCACAUAUUUCGUGGCAACAUGCUUGAUGCAACCUACCCUGCAAGGGCAUUGGAUAGAAGACUCCAAGCAGAUUGGGCCAGAGAUGCAAGAGAAGGCCCUAGGAUUCUCAUGAGCCUUAGGGUAGAUUUCGGGCCCAUGGGCUAAGUAUAAGCCCGCUUAUCUUUGUACAUAUUAGAUUAAUAUUUCAUUAUUUUUUGGCCUUGUAUUUAGGGCUCCAUAAUAUAGGUAAGGUACCCUAGAAAUGUAGGAUUUUCAGCCCUUGUAUUUUAGGGCACCUAGACUAGUUUUUGUAUUAGGGGUAGUUUUGUAAUUUCACAUGCAUUAAGUGAAUAUUUGAUGUGUGUGUUGGAAAAUAAAUUUAAUUGAAUUGGUAGAAGUCCAAUCCAAUUAAAUUUUAGAGGGGGAGGUGAGUAUUUGUUUGCUACACCCUAUUGCUACAUCAUAUAGUCACACUUUGUGCAUGUCCUUCAUGCUUUACAUGCCUUAUGACACCUAAGCACACUUAGUGGAGAAUCUUGGACUUGAUCUUGGAUUAGUGGGCUGAACCAUAACUAAAAUUCACUAAUCAUAAUUAGUGAAAUUUUGGCUCCAAAAUUUGGCUCCACAAAUUCAAUUUCAAAUCCAAGUGAAAUUUGAAUAGAAAUUCAAAUUUUCCUCCAAUUUUAUGUGACACUUAGGCUAUAAAUAGAGGUCAUGUGUGUGCAUUUUUUUCAACUUUGAUCAUUUGAAAAUUAAACUUCAGAUUUCAGAGCUCUUUUAGAGCACAAAAUUUCGUGCUCUUCUCUUCCUCUCCCUUCAUUCAUCUCCUUCUUCCUCCAAGCUCUUAUCCAUGGCCUCCUAUGGUGGUGAGCUUCUUCUCGACUCAUCUUCUCCUUGAAGUGGCGUCUCCUCUCUCUCUUUCUUCUCCAUUCCGCUAUCAUUCAUCAUCCAAGAAGCAAAGGAAUCCAUUGAUGAAGAAGAUCCAAGGCAAACAAGCUCCAUAGGAGCUACAUCAAUGCUUUACAAUACAAAUCAAACUUCAUAUAACAAUGUUACUUGACAAAGUCUAUCUACCACAGGAUAAUUGAAAAAUCAAUUUUCAGCUCUAGAAUGUAUUUCAGUUGCAGAUGCUAUGCCAUUAUUACAGCCUCAAGACAAAAUUCUGUAGUGGCAACUGGCAGCUCUAACUGAUUCUUGCAGAACAAGAUUUGGAGUCUGGAAAUAGAAAUAAAACAAUGCUAAAAUCAGGUAAUCAUUCAACACUUUUUGACAGGCUUGUACCUCUUUCAUUAAGGAACUCAUCAUUUCCAAAAAAAUAAAUGGUAAAGCCCAAAGUUUCUUAACUGGCGUUGCUUACAAGAGACAAACCCAAUACAACUUUCAUCGGCACCACAGUGGGAUAAGUGUUCCUAGUGUAGGAAUUAACCAAAUUUUCUAAGACCACACGACCAUCCCCAACUAUGAUGCACUUUGUCGUAACCUACCCUUCGGCGGGAGGGUGACCCGUGACUUGUGGGUGCGUCUUCCAAGAAAGGAAUACGCUAGGAGUCGCCACCAACGUUUAUUUGAGGAAAACAUCGGAAAAACCAGAAAAGACAUGAUCUACGAACUUUAAGUGAAAGGUUCGGGAGUUGUAUUUAUGCACGGGGAAGGUAUUAGCACCCCACGCGUCCGUCAUAAGAGACGGCAACCUUUAAUUAAAUGUGCAAACAUGACUUCAAUUUUAUGUUCCCUUUUACGUCUUUAUUUCUUUUUAUAUCUUUUUGCGGUCGACGAGGGUGUUUCCCUUGCUCCUACGUAUUUCUUAAUUGCGGUAAGGAAAUCAGACCUACGUAGUUCUUUGUGAACAAAGUGUUUGGUUAAGUUGUUUUUAUCCUUUUUGCAAAAUAUGUUUUUAUUGAAUGAAAGGUCAUUUAAGGCGUUGAACCAUUAAACAAUCUUUCGAUUCUUUUGAAAAGAGAGAAGACAUUAAGGCAUUGGACCAUUAAUGAUCUCUUUAUUUUUGAAAGAGGUAAUAAAGUUACAUGUUGAUUUUAGGCCUUUAGAAAUCUACACUUAACCAAUAAAAGCGGAAAAGACCACUUCAAGGCGUUGGGACCUUUGAAAAUGGCUUUUUUAGGCGAUGACAAAAGUUUGGUUUAUGAAUUGAUUUUAGCCUUUGUUUCACUUUGGUUAUUAGUCAAUUUGAUUAAGAAAGAAAAAUCCCAAAGAGAAACGUCCGAUUGAUUUUUUUGAUUUAUUUUACUAAAAGAUAUUUUUUAUUAUUAUAUUAUUAUUUUACCUCUUUUUGGUUUCCAACGUGGUUAAGGCAUGACCGAACGGUCGGAUUUCAUUUUAACAGAAAUUAACGGAUAUUACAAAUCAAAUGAUCGAUGGAAAUUUAUUUUAUUUUUGAUUAGGGGAGAAAAUUGUUAGUGUUUAGCUCUACUGAGCUUUAAAAGAUUGGCUAAGAUUUUGUUAAAACAUAAGCACUUAGACAAUGAAGGAAAGCUGGAGUUGCUGCACAUGAUGUCCAACGUUAUGUCAAGGAAUAAGAUCGGGCUGCACAAUGCACAAGGCAAGAUAAAAUGUCAAAUGAAGAAUUGAAGUUGCAGGAUCCACGAUGUCGGAUACAAUGUCCUGACAUCCUGCUCGAGAAUACUGGAGUUGCUGUGCAAUGCAAGAUAAAAGUCAAGUGCAGAAGUAAAGCUGCAGGAUCCACGAUGUCGGACACGAUGUCCUGACAUCCGGCCCGAUAAUACUGGACACAUAAAUCUGUUAUAUCUUUAACAGAUUAUUGUGCAGUUAGCAAGAGAUAAGAAGAUCUAUCUUUAGGAACGAAUUAAAAGAUCAUUAAAGUUCGAAUUUCAAAGUAGAAGAGUUCGUUCAGGGAUUAAAGAUUAAAGAUUAAAGAUUCAAACUAAAAGAUCAAAAGUUAUCUUUUAGUUCUUUAACUGCAGAUUUUUCAGAAGAAGAUAGAUCUCCUCCAGCAUCAAGGAGUUGCAGCCCAGAAUCGUACACGGCUAUAUAAUCAUGGAGGCUGCACGAGUUCUGUACCAAGUCCGGGAUUGAAGAGUUAGUUUGUGAGUUUUUGGGACUUGAGUCUUUUGUGAGCCACCUUGAUGGUACCCUAGCAUCAAGUGUUGGACCUAUGUGUGUAGAGUUGAUCUCUUGUGUGUAGAGUUGAUCUCUUGUGUCUAGAGUUGAUCUCUAGUGUGUAGAGUUGAUCUCUUUUGUUCAGAGUUGAUCUCUGGUGUGUCUUUGACUUAAUUGUAAACACAGGAGUGUGAGUGAGAGGGAGUGAGCGGAGGUUCUCAUAUCUAAGAUUGGGUCUUAGGUAGAGAUCGCACGGGUAGUGGUUAGGUGAGAAGGUUGUAAACAGGGGCUGUUAGACCUUGAACUAACACUAUUGAGAGUGGAUUUCCUCCCUGGCUUGGUAGCCCCCAGAUGUAGGUGAGGUAGCACCGAACUGGGUAAACAAUUCUCUUGUGUUAUUUACUUGUUUAAUCUGUUCAUACGGACACAUAUAAUCUGCAUGUUCUGAAGCGUGAUGUCGUGACAUCCUGUACGACAUCUGUCCCCUGGUAUCAGAAUUUCAAUUGGUAUCAGAGCCAACACUCGAAAUCACAGAGUGAGAUCUAGGGAGAUAAAUUCUGAUGAACAUGGAGAAAGAAGGCGGACCAGUGAACAGACCACCAAUUCUCGAUGGAAGCAACUAUGAAUAUUGGAAAGCAAGAAUGGUGGCCUUCCUCAAAUCACUGGAUAGCAGAACCUGGAAAGCUGUCAUCAAAGGCUGGGAACAUCCCAAGAUGCUGGACACAGAAGGAAAGCCCACUGAAGAAUUGAAGCCAGAAGAAGACUGGACUAAAGAAGAAGACGAAUUGGCACUUGGAAACUCCAAAGCUUUGAAUGCUCUAUUCAAUGGAGUUGACAAGAAUAUCUUCAGACUGACCAACACUUGC
RNAcentral lists this long non-coding RNA (25501 nucleotides) under Glycine max (soybean). RNAcentral's name for it is "long non-coding RNA (GMAX_LNC001542)". The record is from RNAcentral. Lineage: Eukaryota; Viridiplantae; Streptophyta; Magnoliopsida; Fabales; Fabaceae.